UGAGUACGAGAUGCUACGGCAUCGAAGCAGUCUAUGUCAUACUUCCAAGAAAAGCUUGCACUGUCAUAAACAAAGAAUGCCUGUACCAUAACCGACACAGGUGGGUAGGUAGAGUAUACUAAGGGGCGCGAGAUAACUCUCUCUAAGGAACUCGGCAAAAUGACUCCGUAACUUCGGGAGAAGGAGUGCCUUAUUUCUAAGGUUGCAAUAACAAGAUCCAAGCAACUGUUUACCAAAAACACAGGUCUCCGCUAAGUCGUAAGACGAUGUAUGGGGGCUGACGCCUGCCCAGUGCCAGAAGGUUAAAGAAGUUGGUUAGCAUUAGCGAAGCUGAUAACUGAAGCCCUGGUGAACGGCGGCCGUAACUAUAACGGUCCUAAGGUAGCGAAAUUCCUUGUCGGGUAAGUUCCGACCCGCACGAAAGGCGUAAUGAUUUGGAUACUGUCUCGGAGAGGGGCUCGGUGAAAUAGACUUGUCUGUGAAGAUGCGGACUACCUGCACCUGGACAGAAAGACCCUAUGAAGCUUUACUGUAACUUGAGAUUGAAAUUGGACUUUAUUUGCGCAGUAUAGGUGGGAGGCGUUGAGAAUAAUCUUGCGGGAUUGUUGGAGCCAUCAGUGAGAUACCACUCUUGUAAUGUUAGAUUUCUAACUUUGUAUCAUUAUCUGGUCAAAGAACAGUUUCAGGCGGGCAGUUUGACUGGGGCGGUCGCCUCCCAAAGGGUAACGGAGGCGCACAAAGGUUUCCUCUGAACGGGUAGAAAUCGUAUCUAGAGUGUAAAGGCAUAAGGAAGCUUGACUGUGAGACCUACAAGUCGAGCAGGGACGAAAGUCGGUCUUAGUGAUCUGACGGUGCUGAGUGGAAAGGCCGUCACUCAACGGAUAAAAGUUACUCUAAGGAUAACAGGCUGAUCUCCCCCAAGAGUUCACAUCGACGGGGAGGUUUGGCACCUCGAUGUCGGCUCAUCGCAUCCUGGGGCGGUAGUCCGUCCCAAGGGUUGGGCUGUUCGCCCAUGAAAGCGGUACGCGAGCUGGGUUCAGAACGUCGUGAGACAGUUCGGUCCAUAUCCGGUGUAGGCGUUAGAAUAUUGAGAGGAGCCUUCUCUAGUACGAGAGGACCGAGAAGGACAUACCUCUGGUGUACCAGUUAUCGUGCCAACGGUAAACGCUGGGUAGCUAUGUAUGGAGUGGAUAACCGCUGAAAGCAUCUAAGUGGGAAGCCCACCUCAAGAUAAGUAUUCUCA
RNAcentral lists this ribosomal RNA (1243 nucleotides) under metagenome. RNAcentral's name for it is "bacterial LSU rRNA". It matches the Rfam family "Bacterial large subunit ribosomal RNA", at positions 1564 to 2816 of the family's 2925-position model. The record is from RNAcentral.